RNAcentral lists this transfer RNA (75 nucleotides) under Calumma parsonii. Its description in RNAcentral is "tRNA-His". It matches the Rfam family "tRNA". From Rfam's summary of the family: Transfer RNA (tRNA) molecules are approximately 80 nucleotides in length. Their secondary structure includes four short double-helical elements and three loops (D, anti-codon, and T loops). RNAcentral also lists the same sequence under 1 other name. The record is from RNAcentral. Lineage: Eukaryota; Metazoa; Chordata; Lepidosauria; Squamata; Chamaeleonidae.
GCCGCGGUAGUUUAUCAAUAAAACACUAGCCUGUGGAGCUAGAAAAGGAACCACAUAUCAACCUUCCCCACAGCU